Apis florea (little honeybee) is the source of this 1496-nucleotide long non-coding RNA. NCBI's taxonomy places the organism in Eukaryota, Metazoa, Arthropoda, Insecta, Hymenoptera, Apidae. The record is from RefSeq and is a predicted model, not a curated record.
AAACAAUUUAGGAUAUUAUCAGAAAUAUAGACAAAUAGGUCUUCCACAAUAAUCGACUAAUCUUCCAUAACAUUUUACUUUUGGUGGUGGUAUCACUGGUAUUGGACAGCAUAUUGGCCGUGGAUAAUAACAGGAGGCAGAUACAUUGUAAAACGAACAAGGAUACUUUCACGAAAUAUACACGCAGUCGUACAUUGAUUCAGGAAUCGAUCAGCGAUACUAUGUACAACACAACCACGGAAGCGUGCACGAUGUCGAAAUAAUUCGCAGAUAAUGCGGUUGCACUUUUCUCAAAUUUGGCACGCGGUGCAUCUGCUCGUAUAUUAUUUCCAUUUUUGUAUUUUUAUCCCUUUUCCCUUAUUCCAGUGUCUUUAUGUGCUCACGUAACAAAUUAAACAAUCUUAAAUACACUAUAAUCUCUUUCAGUGAAAUAAGACACUGGAACAUGUCUCAACUGAUGCCUGCUCUUUCCGUUUUUUAUAAUAAAUUUUCCAAAAUAAACAUAUUCGAUAAACUAUCGAGAGAGUAAACAGAUCAGUUUUGCAAUAGAUCGAAAAUGUUUAAGGUUAGAAACAGAAACCAGUCAAGACUAUUUCUAUUUUAAUUUAAAUCCUUUAGAUCCUAGCCAAAUAAAUUUAAAUGAAUAGUUAACUUACAUACGCAAAUUAUACGUAAGUACGAUACGAAAAAAAAAAAAAUAGUAAAAAAUAAAAAAAAAUAAAAGAAAGAAAAUAAUAAGUACUUAAGGCAAUAUUAUAUAUAUAUAUACUAUAUAUAAUCAUCGUUGUAUAUACAAUUCUCCGAACUAACCUGAAAAAUCAAGUUACUUCAAUGUAAAUGAAGAUUUACGAUGUCCAUGACAUCGGUUCUUUACGUUUGCUUCUAAAUGGAAAGAGAGAAAAAAGAAAAUUGAAACGAAGAAACAAGCUGCGUUUCUAUUAAUACACAUUUAAGUACAUCGAUCAAUCAAUGUUCGUUUUCUCUAUCACACGUUUUUCUUCUAUACAAAUUCCGUGAUAUGUACCUCGUGAUCGUGCUUGUGCUAUCUCGACAAUUAUUUCAUUUAUUUAUUUUUUUUUGUUUUCUCUGGUUCUAUCCAUUAUUUUCUCUUCGGUAUGUCGAUGUUCGUUUCUUUCGCUUUUGUUGUUUUUGAUUUACCGGACGGACAGAAGAUGAUUCGAAAGAUCAACUCAAUCAUGCCAAACGAUCGAGAACGAUAUCGGGCUUAGAAUUCUCCUGUAACGAGUAUCGAUUACGUGUUCCAUCUUUAGGUGGCACGGUAUAGUCUGUUUAGAAUCAAUCGAUCUUUCGAGAUUAACGAAAAGAAUUAUUUGUUAUAUGUCGAAGGUUAUUUGAGAAACGUGGUAUAUUUACAUAUUUCCGAUGAUAAAGUGAAAGUGGAAAAAAAAUUAACUAGGACAGCACCGAGUUGGACCCACUCACGAAAGAUUUUUAUAACAUAUCUGAAAAUCAAGUCGAAGCUAAAGAUUAUAAAA